Long non-coding RNA from Mus musculus (house mouse), 469 nucleotides. RefSeq annotates it as predicted gene, 52913. The record is from RefSeq and is a predicted model, not a curated record. NCBI's taxonomy places the organism in Eukaryota, Metazoa, Chordata, Mammalia, Rodentia, Muridae. The transcript has 3 exons.
AGCGCCCCUGGAACACAAAGCCAACACAAAAGACUUUCAGCCCAUGUGACAUACCAACCAAGGCAGAGCUGACACACAUUCAAAGGCACUUUGGCGGUGAAACCCAGGAUCACAGCCGAUCGACUCCCUCCUGAACACAGAAAGCCCUCAGGUCAUCUUUACUGACUUCUAAAUCCUCUCUCAGAGCUUCCUCCAGCCGGCCUCCGUAGCACGAUCCAACACUGGCGGGUUCUGAGCUGAGAACGUUCUGUGACCCUGAACAUGCGUGCUCUCAGGAUUACUUUCUCCAGAACUGAGAACCCACAACUUUGACAAAAGUUAAAACAAAGAGAUAAUGGAGAGCUGCCACUCAGAGCCAAAUCCUAGUAUGAAAGCGUUAACUCCUUCAACAAUGAUUAGGAAAGAGAGAGAGAGAGAGAGAGAGAGAGAGAGAGAGAUUUCAGCCUUUCAGAACCUCAGUUUGUCCAUU